Molecule: ribosomal RNA, 253 nt
Filed under: uncultured bacterium
Lineage: Bacteria
Description: partial 16S ribosomal RNA
Rfam family: Bacterial small subunit ribosomal RNA
Source: RNAcentral
UACAGAGGUCUCAAGCGUUGUUCGGAUUCAUUGGGCGUAAAGGGUGCGUAGGUGGCGCCAUAAGUCGGGUGUGAAAUCUCGGGGCUUAACUCCGAAACUGCAUUCGAUACUGUGGUGCUUGAGGACUGGAGAGGAGACUGGAAUUCAUGGUGUAGCAGUGAAAUGCGUAGAGAUCAUGAGGAAGACCAGUGGCGAAGGCGGGUCUCUGGACAGUUCCUGACACUGAGGCACGAAGGCGUGGGGAUCAAACAGG